This 468-nucleotide ribosomal RNA is filed under the name uncultured bacterium. RNAcentral describes it as "partial 16S ribosomal RNA". It matches the Rfam family "Bacterial small subunit ribosomal RNA", at positions 28 to 507 of the family's 1533-position model. The record is from RNAcentral.
GACGAACGCUGGCGGCGUGCUUAACACAUGCAAGUCGAACGGAAAGGCCCUGCUUUUGUGGGGUGCUCGAGUGGCGAACGGGUGAGUAACACGUGAGUAACCUGCCCUUGACUUUGGGAUAACUUCAGGAAACUGGGGCUAAUACCGGAUAGGAGCUCCUGCUGCAUGGUGGGGGUUGGAAAGUUUCGGCGGUUGGGGAUGGACUCGCGGCUUAUCAGCUUGUUGGUGGGGUAGUGGCUUACCAAGGCUUUGACGGGUAGCCGGCCUGAGAGGGUGACCGGCCACAUUGGGACUGAGAUACGGCCCAGACUCCUACGGGAGGCAGCAGUGGGGAAUAUUGCACAAUGGGCGGAAGCCUGAUGCAGCAACGCCGCGUGCGGGAUGGCGGCCUCCGGGUUGUAAACCGCUUUCGCCUGUGACGAAGCGUGAGUGACGGUAAUGGGUAAAGAAGCACCGGCUAACUACGUG